Long non-coding RNA from Pan troglodytes (chimpanzee), 941 nucleotides. RefSeq lists it as uncharacterized. The record is from RefSeq and is a predicted model, not a curated record. The transcript has 5 exons. NCBI's taxonomy places the organism in Eukaryota, Metazoa, Chordata, Mammalia, Primates, Hominidae.
GGAGUUGUGGGAGUGCUCCCUUCCCCAGGAGGUCACAGAAAACAAGCAUGUCCAGUGUGCCAGAGGAUUCGGACUGAGAGAACUCCUCUUUUCCUUUAAGUGUGAUUGUUCAUCUCAGGAUAAAAUGGGAAAGGAAUAACCAAACCAACAGAACAUAAGAAAGAAGAACUCGGAGUCCAGGAAAGUCCUGAACAUCUCGACAAUUAGAAAGUCUUCAGUGGAGCUGGGAAACUGAAAACUUUCCAGGGGAAGCAGAAACCCAGGUUCUGUUACUUUGCUUCUGGAGACUUGAGCUUUGAUUCUACAGGACUCUGACAGGUGCUCUUGAAGGCAGGUGUUUAAUAACUUUGGAGACUGUGACACUAGAACAGAGGAAAAACUUCCAAGACUCUCAUAGACAGGAUACAGUUGAAGACAAUGGUUAUUUAACCAAGUCUUUGACUGGAGUUGCAUACUUUCAGAUGUAAAGAAACUGCUUUAAGGGAUCAGAGUUGACUUAGAAAGCCAAUAAAAGCCCCUUUGGAAAGCUGGCCUCCUACCUUGUCUACCCAGUUCUUGUACAGGUUUCCGACCUGUGCUGUGCCUUCUUAAAGGCUGGAGCCUGGAGCACAUGAGGAGAAUUCACAGAAGUGCCUGGAAAGGGAACUGCGGUGGAUCUUACAGAGACUUGAAACAUGUGGAGGAGUUUGGCUCUUAUUCAUAAACGACAAAGUGCUGCCUCCACCUCCCCACCUGUCUAGUUUUAUUCAGUGAUGUCUAUCCUCAUGACUUGGGCCACUUUCAUCAUCACGUCUAUUUGGUUACCUAGGUCUGCCGUUUUUGUGUUUUUUUUUUUCCCAAAUGCUUUCCACAUAAGAUGGCCUGGGUGUCAAUUGCUUAUCUCAGUGGAAUCAUUUCUACUCACCUAUAAAAUGGGAGUAAUAAAAAUGCUAUGUAUCCGA